GACGAACGCUGGCGGCGUGCUUAACACAUGCAAGUCGAACGGAGUGGCGAACGGGUGAGUAACACGUGGGUGACCUGCCCGGCACUUCGGGAUAAGCCGGGGAAAAUGGGUCUAAUACCGGAUAGUGUGGGAUGGGCCCGCGGCCUAUCAGCUUGUUGGUGGGGUAAGGGCUGACCAAGGGGGCGACGGGUAGCCGGCCUGGGAGGGUGGACGGCCACAUUGCGACUGGGGCACGGCCCAGACUCCUACGGGAGGCAGCAGUGGGGAAUAUUGCACAAUGGUCGGACGGCUGAUGCAGCGACGCCGGGUGGGGGAUGACGGCCUUCGGGUUGUAAACUCCUUUCACCAUCGACGCGGUAGAUGGAGAAGAAGCACCGGCUAACUACGUGCCAGCAGCCGCGGUAAUUC
Molecule: ribosomal RNA, 408 nt
Filed under: uncultured bacterium
Lineage: Bacteria
Description: partial 16S ribosomal RNA
Rfam family: Bacterial small subunit ribosomal RNA
Source: RNAcentral